RNAcentral lists this long non-coding RNA (10284 nucleotides) under Marmota monax (woodchuck). Lineage: Eukaryota; Metazoa; Chordata; Mammalia; Rodentia; Sciuridae. The record is from RNAcentral.
CCGACGCGCCGCCCAAGAAGCGGCUGCGGGCGGCCGAGGCGGCCGAGGCGGCGGCGGCGGCGGCGGCGGCGGCGGGCAGCGGGAAGCUGGAGGAACGGCUCUACUCGGUGCUGUGCUGCACCGUGUGCCUGGACCUGCCCAAGGCCUCCGUGUACCAGGUAGGGCCGCCGGCCCUGCCCGGCGCCGCGUCUCCUCGAGCCGGGCCCGGAGGCCCGGGGCCGGCAGCCGGGACCCUCUCCGGUCCUCACCUCCGCCUUCUGCGCCCGCGGGACCCUGGAGCCUGUCCCGAAACUCCUCGUUUUCUCUCUCCUCUCCUUGCUCCGAACCCCCUUUUUCCGUGUUCCGACCCUCUGUCAGUUUCAGUUUUCUCUUUCUUGUUCAGAUCCUGCCUCUCCCCUUCCAGGUUCCUUCAAGGUUCUCUUCUUGAUACCUUCCGCUCCCCUCCAGCUGACCCCGAGGAGAGCUAGAGACAGGUGCCUAUGCUCCCUGCCCAUUCUUGGCGCUGCUCCUCACUCCCAGGCUUUCUGGCACACAGGCCCCUUUACUUGAGGGAGAUCCUCUGUUCUGGCAGCCACACCCCCAAGCGUGUCCCUCCAUUUCUGAACCCGUAUACAUUUUCUUUUCUGUUCUCCAGAGCCCUGUCAAAUUCUUUCUGAAAAACAGGAAGAAGGGAGGGGACUGCCUUUUGUCCCUCCCCCAGCCCUCCUGCUCCGGUCUGGAGGAACCCCUGCCACAAGACUGGCAGUCAGGGUACUUUCUCCAGAUCAAGCCAGAGUUUCCCACCCCAGCCCCCCUCAUCCAUUCCAAGCCUGGUUUCCUUGGUCUCCCAUUCACCAUCUGAGGGAGAUCCAGUGCAGUGGAUGGACUCAGGAUCCUUGCCACCUCAGGGCUGCUUGAUGGGUACCUGGUCCAGGUAGAUCCAGAAUGUCCCCUCCUGGUUACAGAGCAGACUUCUGGUUUAGGCCCAGAGUCAGUGGGCAGUAUCAGUCUGCCUUCUCCUGAUCGUCCCACCUUGGCCCCAGCCCCUUUGAGAAACAACGUGGGUUCCUGUCAAUUAUUUUGUACUUACAGGAGCUGGAAAUGGCUGGUGGGUCCUUGCUUCUGUUUAGACAGGGUCCUGUGCGAGAGGGCCACAUAUGUAGGAAGCAGGAUAGGGCUAGUUUGGGUUGCUAUUUCCCUAGCCUCUGGGUCUCUCAGUCCUUUCUGCUCUGACCAGAGGUUGCUUGGGAGGACCCCAGUGUCCUGGAUGGGGCAACCACCUUCAUGCAUGUCAGGCUGGGGUCAGCGGGGGGAGAAUCUUCCACAGUCCUGGUCCCAGCACCAGCAUUUACCCCUCUCCUUGGGGACCAUCUGGACCCCUUUAACCCCUAGCCCAUUUUUUCUUGCCUACAGCCUCAUGGUCCCCUCUGCUGGAAGAGCUUUUCCUCUCCUUGGCCUUGAGUGAGAGCCAAGUCAGUAGUGGGGAGAUCCCAGGGAAGUCAGGGGUAUCCUUGUCUCCCUUCCUGUGAAUGGUCCGGAGCUGGACUUGGCAUGAUGACAGGCCACCCAGUACUGGCUUCUAGUGUACACAGCUCUGCUUGUGGCCAGACAAGCUGGUGACCAGGCCUCUGAGCCUGGCUGGUUCAAACUAGCCUGUACUCUGUUCAGAGUAAGCUCUGGCCUGGGCAGCUAGAGGCAGGGCAGCUGAGCAGAUGUAACAGCAUGAAGUCCAGGGUUGCCCUGACUAGUGCCCUGCCAGGUGAGGCUGCCCCGUGGCUUCCCUGAGAGCAGACAAGCUGAGCAUGGGGAGCCAUGGAUACUGACACUAAGUUGUGGGCUCUGCCACAAGCCUCCAUCCCACCUUCAUUCUUCCCAGGUGACACUCAGAGCAAGAGUUUCUCUCUCAUCUCUAGAAGUUGGGAGAAGGAACUAGAAUAUGUAGCUGUAGAAGAGCCUUUGGGCCCUGUGACGGAACUUUGGCUGCUUAUGGACUUGCUGUGUGAAAUGGGGAGGGGGCCAGGGGAAAGAAGGAAGCGUUCCUAUUGCCUCUGAAUGCCACUGGGGACACUUCCCAUGGUGGUUCCCUGCCAUGUACAGUGACUCUGGAGGUUAAUUAUUGCUGUCCCCACCAAGUCGUUGUGGGUCAGGACAGACCAUGCUCUUGCCUGGUCUUUCCAAAGGUUCUAGGCACAGAUGGAGUGGGCAUGCCCCUAGUCAGGGCCUACUGCUGACCACUACCUUGGCUUGGCCCCUUCAUCUUUUGCUAGCCUUCAUUGAUGACCCACAUUGAUUGGCUGUCUAUCGUGAACAUUGAUUGACUGUCUAUCGUGAACCAGUCUUUGCCUUCUUGCUCUCUGCUCCUCAGGCAACAUUUUUCCCCCUGCUGCUGGGGAUUGGACCUGAGGGCACUUUACUACUGAGUUACAGCCUCGGCCUUUUAAAAAAAAAUUUUUUUUGUUUUGUUUUGUUUUUAAUUUUUGAAACAGGUUCUCACUAAGUUAUCAAGGCUGGUCUUGAACUUGUGAUCCUCCUGCCUCAGACUUCCAAGUUACUAGAAUUACAGGUGUGCAGCUUGGGUCCUGCUGGCAACAUUUUGCCUGAUCCCAGCAGAAUUCAUGGCUGGGAAUGGGCCUCUGCCAUGCCUAGUGUCCUGAGGGCUGGCUCAGGCACUCUGCUCUGACAUGAGGAGAAGAGGCGGUGGCCAUGCUGAGCCCUGUGUGUUGUAUCUCACUCUGGGUUAUGUGGUUGGCUGGUUACAUGGCAACUUUAGAAUAUAUUACCUGGCAGCCAGGCACCAUUUGUGGUGCUAAGGAAGCUUUGGGUAUUGGCAGAAACAGCCAUGAGCCUCAUGCAUGUGUUCAUCUACCUGGUUCAAAACUGAGUCCUUGGACCCACAGGGCCAGCUUCCCCAUGGGCCAGACACAUACACCAACAUGUAUCAGGUUGGGCAGUUUGUUAAGGCCCUCAAGCAAAUGGUUCUCGCUGCUGUGGCCUAUGUCAUGUCGGGUUAAGGGCCACUGCAGGGAUGGCCGAUGCAUGCUUUGAUGUUCUGUGUGGGUGAUAGGUGUGUCCUGGGCAACUGGCCUGGCGAGGUGUGCAGCCACCUUCCUGAAUCCUGGGCAAGGCCCUUCCGAAGUUCCAGGCAGGCAUCAGGGCAGGCAACCAGGUGUAUGGCAGGAGGGCUGGAGGGGUAGCAGCAACAACCAUUCAAGAGUUUAGGGGCAGGACAGGAAACUUAUGCUGACACCCUGCUCUGGAUACAGUCCUGGGCCCCAAGGGCAGUAUGACCUGUUAGCACCUCUGCCUAUGAAAUACCUUCUCUGAGGAAGACCCAGCCUUGGUGUGGUACCCAGGAUGUUACAACCACAGCCUGAUUCCUGACCUCCCUAUCCCAGCUCUCCUGGCACAACCCUUUAUAGAAGGCUCAACUUGGUUCUCCCUAAGGCAGACCCAGUCCCAGCCCUUUGUCUGGAUGUCUGUGAGGCCCAAAGCCUGAGUCUUGACAUCUGGAGGAAGACAGUACUUUUCAUUUCUACUCCUCAUGAACUUUGAGGUACAGGAGUCAGUAGGUGGUGGUCUUUUAUCAUGGGAUGUGGUCCAGCCUCCAUCUGGUGUGACCAUGGCCUUCUGGCAUGCCCCAUUGUUGCUCUAGCACACCUUGAGCUGCUCUCCAUGUCACCCCUCACAUCUGCUCUUCUUUUGGCUUGUCUGAGGCAGUGCCCCAUGUCAAGACAUUCCCCACUCCCUGCCACAAAGGUGCCCAUCCCUCCCUAGUGCCUGAAUCCCUCUCAGCCCUGAGGGAGGGUGGUAUGUUCUGCUGCCAUCCCACUCCAAGACCUUCUGCCUCCAUGCCAAGUCUCGGCUCUGGGGACUUUUACCUGAUUGAUAGUCCUAUCGAUGAAAGGCCCAGAAAACAGGUACUGCUCCAUCUCUGCCCACAGUCCCUCACUCCCUGAGAACAUGUAGCAGCUCAGGCUUCAUCAUUCACAUGGCCCAUGAGCUCAGAUACCACUGAUAUUUUUUUCCUUGAGACAGGAAAGAAUUUUGGAAAUAAGUCUGCUUAGGUGUCCAAAACCCAGGACUGAGCAAGGAGGGUUUCUGUAGUUUCUAUAGUCUAUGUUGUUCUUUUUGUGGUGAUAGUUUAUCAAUAUAAGUCAUUUUAUUAUUUGUAGUAUUGGGGAUUGAAUCUAGGGCUUUGCACAUACUAGGCAAAUGCUCAAUCAGUGAGGUAUGUUCCCAGCCUUUUAAAAUUUAAUUUAAUUUAGUUUUGAGGCAAGGUCUUACUAAGUUGCCUAGACUAGCCUUGAAUUUGUUAUCCUCCUGCCUUAGCCUCCUGAGUUGAUGGAAUUUCAGGCAUGUGCCACUGCACCCAGGUUUAAAUUACUUUUAAGCAGUAUUUGCUACUGAGAGCAUUUCUAGGUGGGAUGGGGGUGAGUUGCUGAGCCCCACCUGAAUUUUGACAUCAGGAGGGGAGGUCAGAUUUCAUCUGAUUCAGUAAUUCAGAUCUAGCCUGAGUGGAAGGUUUAAGUCCUGCCUUCUCCCUUAAUGAUUAUGUGGCCUUGGACAAGGAACUAGUCCUGCUCAGGUCCAUGCUAAGGAGGUUAAGGAGGCUUGGUUGAGUGUGGGAUAUGUCCCAAAGUACCACUGUGGUUGUUAAAGCCUUGCCUACACUGGGAGGCUCUUGGGAGGAAGGAGGCACCUCCAACUACUGAGCAGUGCUUUAGGGUUAGUGUCCAAGGGGAAAUCCCUCAGCUAUAUUUUGGUAUUGUGACCUCUGCAAAGGGCUGUGGGUCUCUGACCACAGGGCAGAAGGGUAGACUGUUCACAUGGGUCUGGGUAGUGGAAAGAGUGGGUCCCCAGGGUUUGAAAGGAUCAUGUGGUACAGGGUGGAAAGAGGUCCUAAAAGGCCAGCUGACCACAGAAAACUCAUGACCAACUGGAAGUCGUGGGGCCCCAUCUCUAGGACCUGCUUGUGGCCAGGCUUCUCUUUGGGCUGGGACAGGGCCACUUAUAUGAACUCCGGGUAUACACAGGCUGAGCACAUGUGAGCUGCCUGCAACAAGGUGGAGAGAAGGGCUAGGUGCUGUCCUGGGAUGUACAGGCUAUUUCUAGGUCUUCCUGGGCUCUGCUGUGGAUGAUCAUAAGGGUGGUGUAUGUUUUGAACCUGCUGUGGUCUGGCUCCCCACCCUUGCCACCAGUCACUUUAACCCUCUUACCUCAUUAUAAUCAUCACCUUGUGCAUGUGAGGAAACUAAGAAGAAAAUUGAUGAGGCUAAAGUCAUGCUGCUGUUGACCUUGGUCAGGGGUCUGAGUCCAGAACUGUGGCUCCAAGCCAGCAUCUGCCCUAGGAGGGAUUGCUUGGGAGGCCCUGUAGUGUUGUUCUGGAUUGCAGGUACAAGUCCUCCUGGCUGCUGUAGGAGGGCAACCUGACCUGCGUUCUGGAGGUACCUGGGCUCUUGGGUGCCUGACCCUACCAUGUUGAGUGAGCAUUGUGUGUAGUCAUUGGGUGGGGCCCAGCUUCUGGCUUGGCAGUGGGCACAAAUCAAGGGGCCAUGUACAGUCUGGCCCACCCACUGCUGAAACUGUGUGGCUACCUUAUGGCCAGGCCUAUGUGUGUUCAGGAGGUUGACAGAAGACAUUAGGGCAUAGUGACCACCCUGCUGUGGUCAGACUGUCUGAUCUGAGAGUUUACCUGGAGAAUGUCCCUUAGCUGGUGAGGGGCUGUGUGUGGGUGUGACUUGUCCAGUAUGCCAUAGAACAUCUUCAGCUGAGUAGUUGUCAGGGGUGAAGGGGCAGUGACCCCAGAGCUUACAGAUCCCCCAGGAGGCCCAGAGGGAGACUAAAGAGGGCAGGAUUAAUACCACCUCUCCCAUAGUGAGGAAUUAACUACUUGUUUUGGGGUCUGUGGCCAGGGGUUGGUAGCAAGUGUGGUGCUGAGAAGUCAUGGUGCUAUGCUUGGCAGCCUUGAUACCCACCUGGCAGGACCCAGGAUAGCUGGGGUGCUUAUAAUCAGGAGGAGAGGCCCAGUGGGCCAGGAUGGGGGCAAGUGGCCCCAGCCCUGCUUGGAACUGCUGGGAAGACCAGGCUGUAGCCAGCAAUACUGUUGCCCUCUCCUCAGGCUGGUGGACCCGGGAGGCAGCUCUUAGCUGGGCCCAGAGCUUCAUCCAAGGCCUAGGUAGCCUCAAAGCAGGGGACUCGUGCCAGUUCCUUGUGGGCUUCCCUCUUGAGGGAUGCCUCAUGGUGCUACAUGGCUGGCUCCCCUCUGAGGAUGCAACUUGAGGAAUAUGUGGCCAUCUGAUACUGUGCUAUGUCCUGCCCUCCCUGGCAGUAUCAGCAGCAGCCCUUGGACCAGACAGUCCAAGUAGGUGGGGGCAAAGAGAGGCCCUGUGACCUGAGCCCUUGUGCUACCCACAUUCCACACCCCACUGACUCCUGGGGCUAUACAAAGCAACCUGGUUUUCCCACCAGGACUUGCCUUAACCCCCUCCUCAGCCAGCUUCUAUGUCUGGACCUGCUGCUGCCUGGCCCCUGCUAGGUUCUCUCAUCCAGGCUGCACCCAGCCAGUCACUCCUCACUCGCUGUAGUGUGUUUUAAUUUCUAACCUAACUUAGAGCAUGAGACUUGAAUGCAGAUGAUGUGUGGUGUUUUUCUAGAUGUGGUUUCUGUGGCAGUACUCUGUUGCCAUCAGUCCUCAGCAUGUAGGUUCCAUCAGGCCUGGCCUGAGAGGUCCUGCUGAAGCAAUAGAAAGAUAGCAAGGAUUCACUAAGGACCCCACCUGUAUAGUGUGAUCCCUGGCAUAGCCAGGUGGCAGCUUAUGAACAUCCUUCUCCCCAGUGCACACUGUCUAGAAGCUGUAGUGUGAUGGGCUUGGCAUAUGGGUGUCUCUCUGUCUUCCUCUGUGCUGCUGGCAUGGAACCAGUGCCUCUACAGGCUAGACACGUGCUCUCCCACUGAGCUAGACCCCAGCACCUGGGCCUCCCCUCUCAUACUGUGAGCCUCUUGAGGUCUUCCUACCCCAAGUCCUUUGAUGGCACCGUGUGAUGCUCAGAGGUGUAUGUUGAACAAGUGAGAGAUGCAAGAUGGGAAUGAUUGUGGCAGCACUGUCCACAUGAGCAAGGUCCCCCCAGCAGGAGCGGUCUGGCUCUUGCUGACCCAACACAGUACCAUGUUCGCUCACAGCCCCCAUUCCUACCUGCCUCCAUCCUGGGUCAUCCUGGCCUCCUGCCUGCUACAGCUCUAUGUCAUUCUGGUGAUAGAUAGCCCCAGCAAGUAGCUCCUCUUUCUGGGCAAUCGCAGCUGCUGGCUUUCACCUGUGCUCACUAGCAAGGGCUGGCAUGAAGAACCAGGGUUUAGGUCACCCUGAGGGCCCUAGUCCCCACACGAGCAGCGUUUCAAGAAGGCACAGAGAGAGAGCCUGCUGCAGUGUGUGGGGAGCAGCUUCCACUCCCCAAUGAGACAGCUGCUGGCUGAGGGCCUCUGCCUUGCCAGGCCAAGAACCAGAUGUUCUUAUAGGACAGGGCAAAGGAAAACUCCAGGUUCUAAGACCUGGGUUUGCCAAAUCAAUCUCCACCAGUCAGGCUUGCUUCAGGGAAGAGGCGGAACCCCCAUGACCUGAUGGUGCCCCACAGAGCUCAAGCUGACUGAGCCCUGGCACCCCCUGGAGCAGCUGUUACAUUUUCUAGACACCAACAUGAACUGGGGACUGGCGUAUGCUCCCUCCUCUCCUCACCAGCUGGAGUCCCUUGGGACAACUGUCCAAGCUGACGCUACGGGAAAGGGCGGGCACGUGUGUGCGCGCGUCCUGCAGGUCUGUGAGCUUCAUCUCCCUUUCCUUCUUCACAGUGUACUAAUGGUCACUUGAUGUGCGCUGGCUGUUUUAUCCACCUACUAGCAGAUGCCCGGCUGAAGGAGGAGCAGGCCACAUGCCCCAACUGUCGUUGUGAGAUCAGUAAGAGCCUCUGCUGCCGGAACCUGGCUGUGGAGAAAGCCGUGAGCGAGCUGCCCUCAGAAUGUGGCUUUUGCCUGCGCCAGUUUCCUCGUUCCAUCCUGGAGAGGCACCAGAAAGAGGAAUGCCAGGACAGGUAACCACUAAGGCUAUGGGCUCCACCACACAUGUGGGGCCCAGGAUGGGGCUGGAAGCCCACCCUGGUGCAGGCAAGUUCCCUCCCAGGACAGGCUAGUUUGUCCUUGUUGUCUGGGCCUUGGGUACCGUAUGCAACAUAACAAACCUGUAGGCCCCAGGGUGGGGGGGGGGGGCGCAUGGGGCUUCCCAUGGGACAGGGCAGGUUCUGUGCCCAUUUGCUAUCUAGACAUGACCCUGACCUUCAGGGUUCUCUGGCCAUGGGGUAGCCCCUCAGAAGGCCCAGGACAGUGUGGCCAGCUCAGGAACUCUAGAAGCUCUGCUCUACAACAUGGGCCCAGUAGGUGGACAGGGCCGCUCAACCAGUGGAUCCCUAAUACCAGGCCUACUCUGUAAUGAUGUUGUGUGGGACCAUGACAGUGGUCAUUGGCUCCUUAUUAUGAAGAAACACCACAGCAGUGGGUACAAAAAGCAUGCUGGCUUAUAGCUCUCUCACUCCCCCCCCCCGCCCCCGCUCUCUAUUUCUGUCUUCUUCUCCUUCCCUCUUUCACUGUCUCCCUCCUCCCUCCUCCUCCUCCUCCUCUUCUCUCUCUCAAACACACACCACAUGUGGGCAUGCAGGUACAACUGUUCUCUGAGCCUGUCCUUGUGGCUGGGCUCAGGAUUAAGUAUGUCCUGCUGGAAGAGGUUUUUGACUGAGUAGAAGCUGCCUCUGGGGGAUAGCUGGUCACAGCCACCUGCUUCUGGCAUAGAUGUGACCUCAGUGUUCACCUUCUCCCAGGGUGACCCAGUGCAAAUAUAAGCGCAUCGGCUGCCCAUGGCAUGGCCCUUUCCAUGAGCUGACAGUGCAUGAAGCUGCAUGUGCCCACCCCACCAAGACGGGCAAUGAGUUGAUGGAGAUCCUAGAUGAGAUGGACCAGAGCCACCGCAAGGAAAUGCAACUCUACAAUAGCAUCUUCAGCCUGCUCAGCUUUGAGAAGAUUGGCUACACAGGUGAGGUGCCCCACUGCCCUCUGCAUGCCACACGGGUAUGAACUGGGGAUGAUGCUGGUGACCAGAAGCUGGGUAUUGGGGACAGCAGGCUCUGUGCAGUGGGCACAGGCUGCGCCGGAUGGCUAGGCUCUGGACAACCUCCAGGUGGACAGGAGGAUAUCUCAGGGAAAAAAAGAUAGGUCAGGUCGGAGACUGAGCAGAGGGAGGGGCCAACAGGGCCUAGGGCAUACCUGCAUGGCUCUCACAGUAGCCCCUGCCCCUGUCCUCCCCACCCUGGCCUACCAUCCCAGCAAGCUGGUAUCACUGUGUGGGGCUCCACUGCCUUGGGACAGGUGGGGUCUAACCAGGAAGCGGGGCGUGUGUUAGGGAAGCCUGGGAACUCAGGGCUGCCACUCAGAGCUGGAGCAAGAGGAGCCUCCAUCAGGUCAGGCCCUGUCGGCAGACCUCACUGAAGCCACCACAGGCCUCCCAAGGCUGGUAAGAAGCUGUUCAGGGACAGGACUCCAGAGCAAACUGAGGGCACCCAGCUCAGGCUGUAGAACCAGGAAUGGAUGUCCACAGAUGGGCAGACUGGACUGGGCCUAGGCCCACUGGAUCUUGUGGCUCCUGGGCUACUGCUACCACCUUUGAACAUUUCGGAAAGCAGGAGUCAGGCUGGAGCCUGGUUCAGAGGACAGCAAGAAGCACCUGCAGACAAUGGGACACUCAGGGAGACCCCAUCCCUCUACUGCUCAGCAACACCAGGUGGCCAGGGCAACCAUGCAGCCAGUCACACCAUGCUGCCUAGACUGAGCUUGGCUGGGUAUAGACCUGAGCAGGCUCCAGAGGCUGAGGGCCCAGGGGGCUACAGCAGCAGAAAGCCACAGCCCCUGGUUAAGAGCAGCCUCAGCUGAUCGGACAGGCCCUGUGGGGUCUGGGUGGGCAGGGGCAUGUGGCUACAUCAGUGGCCAGGUAGGAAGCCCCAUCCAUGCAGGAAGGACUGGUUGCCUGGGAACCCACACCUCCACAGAGGGACUUGCCAGCCACAGGCUGUGGGUACAAAAGAGGACUGCAAAAGCAGGUCUGCCCGCUGACUGACAGCCCCAGAGAUGCCAGGCAGAGCCUGGUUGCAGCUGGACACCUGAGGACCUGGCGCUCCCCUCGGGCAGGACUGGGUGCCACUUACUCACCUGCCGGCUUUUCUGGCAGCUCUGUAUCCAAACCAAUAAAGUACACUUGUUCUCAGAACUGCA